GGGGCGCCAGGAAUAGCGAGAUCCAGUCUAACAUGGCUGGAGCUAUCGGAGCCCAUGGCCGUCGGCGAACUCCAAGGUGCGGUGCUGCAGAUCGGGCGGCAGCGGCGGCAGGUUGGGCACCAGAGGCGGCAGCCUGGGCACCAGAUCCUUGGCUUCGUCGACGGCACCACCAGUGCCGCCGCCCUUCCCUUUCAGCUCCCUCCCGUCGCAGGACGCGAGGAGCGCCACCACCAGCAGCAGGAGCGCGACGGCCAGACGCUUGGCCAUUGCUAACCAAGAACCAACAAUAUAGUGCGAGUGGAGAUCUAUGCGACUCCUUUUCCCCCUCUGCAGUGAGCAAACACGCGUUGUGCUGACGAGCGCCGCGUACAUUCACCUGAAGCAAGCAGAGAUCUCCAAAUACACCAGGAACCUUGCUCCGACCAACCG
This 429-nucleotide long non-coding RNA is filed under the name Hordeum vulgare. Its description in RNAcentral is "long non-coding RNA (HVUL_LNC011193)". Lineage: Eukaryota; Viridiplantae; Streptophyta; Magnoliopsida; Poales; Poaceae. The record is from RNAcentral.